GCGAAAGCCUGACGGAGCGACGCCGCGUGGGUGAUGAAGGUUUUCGGAUCGUAAAGCCCUGUCUGGAGGAAAGAAACCCUGUGUGACUAAUAAUUGCGCAGGCUGACGGUACCUCUGAAGGAAGCUCCGGCCAACUACGUGCCAGCAGCCGCGGUAAUACGUAGGGAGCAAGCGUUAUCCGGAAUCACUGGGCGUAAAGAGCUCGUAGGCGGUUGGGUAAGUCGCAUGUUAAAGACCCGGGCUUAACUCGGGGAGUGCGCGCGAUACUGCUUGGCUAGAGGACGGGAGAGGAAAUCGGAAUUCCUGGUGUAGCGGUGAAAUGCAUAGAUAUCAGGAAGAACACCGGUGGCGAAGGCGGAUUUCUGGACCGUUUCUGACGCUGAGGAGCGAAAGCUAGGGGAGCGAAC
RNAcentral lists this ribosomal RNA (407 nucleotides) under uncultured bacterium. RNAcentral's name for it is "bacterial SSU rRNA". It matches the Rfam family "Bacterial small subunit ribosomal RNA", at positions 375 to 773 of the family's 1533-position model. The record is from RNAcentral.